RNAcentral lists this ribosomal RNA (490 nucleotides) under uncultured bacterium. RNAcentral describes it as "partial 16S ribosomal RNA". It matches the Rfam family "Bacterial small subunit ribosomal RNA", at positions 28 to 507 of the family's 1533-position model. The record is from RNAcentral.
GAUGAACGCUAGCUACAGGCUUAACACAUGCAAGUCGCGGGGCAGCAUGGGGGUUGCUUGCAAUCCCCGAUGGCGACCGGCGCACGGGUGAGUAACGCGUAUCCAACCUGCCCUUCACCACGGGAUAACCCGGCGAAAGUCGGACUAAUACCGUAUGUUGUCCAUUGACGGCAUCCGAUUUGGACGAAAGGCUUGGCGGUGAGGGAUGGGGAUGCGUCCGAUUAGCCAGACGGCGGGGUAACGGCCCACCGUGGCUACGAUCGGUAGGGGUUCUGAGAGGAAGGUCCCCCACACUGGAACUGAGACACGGUCCAGACUCCUACGGGAGGCAGCAGUGAGGAAUAUUGGUCAAUGGGCGUAAGCCUGAACCAGCCAAGUAGCGUGCAGGAUGACGGCCCUAUGGGUUGUAAACUGCUUUUAUGCGGGGAUAAAGUGGCCCACGUGUGGGCUUUUGCAGGUACCACAUGAAUAAGGACCGGCUAAUUCCGUG